AUGGAGAGCGAGGCGGGCCGCGGGCCCCGGGCGGGUGGCGGCGCGGGGCGCGGGGGGCGGCGGGCGGGAGCGGGAGCGGGGCUACUCACCGGCCUCUCGCGGGCGGGGGGGCCGCGUCCUGCCCGGCGGCCGGCGGGGACUGGGCGGGGCGGGGCGGGGCGGCGGGGACCGGGGGGCGGGGCGGGGCGGGGCGGGCGGCGGGAGCGCGCGGGGGGCGCCGCGGGUCCCGGAGUUCCGCGGGGUGUGGGCUUCGGCGCGCGGCGCGGGGCCCGCGGGCUUUAUCCGCGCCUAAUUAGCAUCUCGUGCCCGCGGGCCGCCCACGGCUGCAGGGUGGUGGCCCAGGGCGUGGCGCUGCCGACGCCUAGUUCCGCCUGGGGUCCCGGCGGGGCCCGGGGCCCACGACUCCAUCCCGGGGCGCGCGGCUCCAUCCCGGGACCCGCGGCUCAAUCCCGGGGCCCGCGGCUCCUUCCCGGGGACCCGCGGCUCAAUCCCGGGGCCCGCGGCUCCUUCCCGGGACCCGCGGCUCCAUCCCGGGGCGCGCGGCUCCAUCCCGGGACCCGCGGCUCCAUCCCGGGGCGCGCGGCUCCAUCCCGGGACCCGCGGCUCCAUCCCGGGGCCGCGGCUCCAUCCCGGGGACCCGCGGCUCCUUCCCGGGGACCCGCGGCUCCAUCCCGGGGCGCGCGGCUCCAUCCCGGGGGCCACGCGGCUCCAUCCCGGGGCGCGCGGCUCCAUCCCGGGGACCCGCGGCUCCUUCCCGGGGACCCGCGGCUCCAUCCCGGGGACCCGCGGCUCCAUCCCGGGGCCCCGCGGCUCCAUCCCGGGGCGCGCGGCUCAUCCCGGGACCCGCGGCUCCUUCCCGGGACCCGCGGCUCCUUCCCGGGGCGCGCGGCUCCAUCCCGGGACCCGCGGCUCCUUCCCGGGACGCGCGCCGGCCGCGCUGGCCCCUCCCGGCGGGCGAGCCUACCCACCGUGGUGCGGUACCGGCGCCGCGGGCCGCUUCCCAGCUCCGGGCCGAUCGGGCGCGCGGCGGGGCAAGAAGUUCGGCGCCGCCGGCGCGUCCGUAGGUGCCUCGUCGCCCCUCCUACCCGGAGAGCCCGGCGCCCGAGCCUCCCCGGCGACAAGGCCGCCCCCGGACCCGGGCCGCGGGCAACGGCGCACGGAUUAAAGUCCUGGGAACUGGGCAGCCUGCGGCUCCCGCAGCGGCAAGCGUGA
Molecule: long non-coding RNA, 1212 nt
Filed under: Canis lupus familiaris (dog)
Lineage: Eukaryota; Metazoa; Chordata; Mammalia; Carnivora; Canidae
Description: lncRNA (ENSCAFG00030007526.1)
Source: RNAcentral